RNAcentral lists this ribosomal RNA (258 nucleotides) under uncultured bacterium. RNAcentral's name for it is "partial 16S ribosomal RNA". It matches the Rfam family "Bacterial small subunit ribosomal RNA", at positions 793 to 1055 of the family's 1533-position model. The record is from RNAcentral.
GUCCACGCCCUAAACGUUGAUUACUCGUUGUUGGCGAUAUACAGUCAGCGACCAAGCUAAAGCGUUAAGUAAUCCACCUGGGAAGUACGACCGCAAGGUUGAAACUCAAAGGAAUUGACGGGGGCCCCGCACAAGUGGAGGAGCAUGUGGUUUAAUUCGAUGAUACGCGAGGAACCUUACCUGGGCUUGAAAGUUAGUGACGUUCUGUGAAAGCAGAAUUCCCUUCGGGGCACAAACUAGGUGCUGCAUGGCUGUCGU